GACGAACGCUGGCGGCGUGCUUAACACAUGCAAGUCGAACGUGAUUUUUGUGGAAAUUCUUUCGGGAAUGGAAAUGAAAUGAAAGUGGCGAACGGGUGAGUAACACGUGAGCAACCUACCUUACACAGGGGGAUAGCCGUUGGAAACGACGAUUAAUACCGCAUGAGACCACAGAAUCGCAUGAUAAAGGGGUCAAAGAUUUAUCGGUGUAAGAAGGGCUCGCGUCUGAUUAGCUAGUUGGAAGGGUAAAGGCCUACCAAGGCGACGAUCAGUAGCCGGUCUGAGAGGAUGAACGGCCACAUUGGAACUGAGACACGGUCCAAACUCCUACGGGAGGCAGCAGUGGGGAAUAUUGCACAAUGGGGGGAACCCUGAUGCAGCGACGCCGCGUGAGCGAAGAAGGUUUUCGAAUCGUAAAGCUCUGUCCUAUGAGAAGAUAAUGACGGUAUCAUAGGAGGAAGCCCCGGCUAAAUACGUG
Molecule: ribosomal RNA, 478 nt
Filed under: uncultured bacterium
Lineage: Bacteria
Description: partial 16S ribosomal RNA
Rfam family: Bacterial small subunit ribosomal RNA
Source: RNAcentral